Molecule: non-coding RNA, 454 nt
Organism: Oryctolagus cuniculus (rabbit)
Lineage: Eukaryota; Metazoa; Chordata; Mammalia; Lagomorpha; Leporidae
Source: the annotation of a RefSeq genome assembly
CACUCAGUGAUCGCACUCAACACAGACGCUCACCAUGGAGACUGGGCUGCGCGGGCUUCUCCUGGUCGCUGUGCUCAAAGGUGUCCAGUGUCAGGAGCAGCUGGUGGAGUCCGGAGGAGGCCUGGUCACGCCUGGGGAAUCUCUGAAACUCUCCUGCAAAGCCUCUGGAUUCAUCAUCAGUAGCAGCUACUGGAUGUGCUGGGUCCUCCAGGCUCCAGGGAAGGGGCUGGAGUGGAUCGGAUGCAUUUAUACUUGUGAUGGUAGCACAUACUACGCGAGCUGGGUGAAUGGCCGAUUCUCCAUCUCCAGAGAGAACACCCAGAACACGGUGUCUCUUCUAAUGAACAGUCUGACAGCCGCGGACACGACCCUGUAUUACUGUGCAAGACAGAUUCUGACCCUGCUGAUUCUCGACGUGGAGAAGUUUGAUGUGAACAGGAGAAGUCCUAUAUGA